GAUCUCAAAACACUCCAUCUCUAUCAUCUAUCCGCUUGCAUAGAUCUUAAAAUACUACAUCCUCUAUCAUUCAUCCACUUAUACCGAUCUUAAAGCACUCCAUCCUCUAUCAUCCAUUCGCUUGUACAAAUCUUAAAGCACUAUAUUGUUUAUCAUUCAUCUAUCUGCAUAGAUCUUAAAGCACUCUAUCCUCUAUCAUCCAUCAACGUGAACAAAUCUCAAAGCGCUCCAUCGUUUAUUAUCUAUCCACUUAAACAAAUUUCAAAGCACUCCAUCUUCUAUCAUU
Molecule: long non-coding RNA, 286 nt
Filed under: Phoenix dactylifera (date palm)
Lineage: Eukaryota; Viridiplantae; Streptophyta; Magnoliopsida; Arecales; Arecaceae
Description: long non-coding RNA (PDAC_LNC010304)
Source: RNAcentral